GACGAACGCUGGCGGCGUGCCUAAUACAUGCAAGUCGAACGCUGAAGGAGGAGCUUGCUCUUCUGGAUGAGUUGCGAACGGGUGAGUAACGCGUAGGUAACCUGCCUGGUAGCGGGGGAUAACUAUUGGAAACGAUAGCUAAUACCGCAUAAGAGUAAAUGUUGCAUGACAUUUACUUAAAAGGUGCACUUGCAUCACUACCAAAUGGACCUGCGUUGUAUUAGCUAGUUGGUGGGGUAACGGCUUACCAAGGCGACGAUACAUAGCCGACCUCAGAGGGGGAUCGGCCACACUGGGACUGAGACACGGCCCAGACGACUACGGGAGGGAGCAGGAGGGAAUCUUCGGGAAUGGACGGAAGUCUGACCGAGCAACGCCGGGGGAGUGAAGAAGGGUUUCGGAUCGUAAAGAUCGGGUGUAAGAGAAGAACGAGUGUGAGAGUGGAAAGUGCACACUGUGACGGUAUCUUACCAGAAAGGGACGGCUAACUACGUG
Molecule: ribosomal RNA, 495 nt
Filed under: uncultured bacterium
Lineage: Bacteria
Description: partial 16S ribosomal RNA
Rfam family: Bacterial small subunit ribosomal RNA
Source: RNAcentral